AUGUGUGAAUACAUAUGCAUCCCUGUGUGCAACCCGAACUGCAACCCAGGGGGCCCGCCUGUGUACGACUUCGUGUACCUUCCUGCGGGCCAUCCCCUAUGCAACACCAUCUGCAAUCCAGGCUUCAACCCAAACAUCAAUCCUGGUUUCGACCCAGGGUGUGAUCCUGGCUUCCGAGUUAUAUGCGAGACCAUGCCUCCCGCUACGUGUGCCCCGAUGCCUCCGCCCAUGUACGGCUCUAUGCCGGUCCCAUCGUCCAACCCUGUGGGCCCCCCUAUGCCACACGUGGUGUUCGAGACAGGGCCCACUCCUGCACACCAGCCUGGAGGUGGAGGGGGGCCGAUGUCCUAUUCUGUCUCUGUCCCGGCAAAUAAUGCGGUGAGUGCCCUGCUGACCCAUUUCAUGGCUGGCCCCAGUCCCACUGCAGCAGCCCAGGCGGUCCCCACCCAUCUGCCAACCCACCCUGUGUGCUCUCCAGUUGCCAACACUGUCGGCAGUCCCAUGCCACCGCCUGCAGCCAUUUCAGUGCCAGCUGCCUCCCUCUCCCAUGUUGUCUGUGGCUCCGUGCCCUCUCCCACAGCCCAGCCUCCCUGUGGCUCCAUGGCCACCCUUCCGACCCAGCCCUUGAGUGCCCCAGUAGCCCAUGCUGUGUGCUCCCCAGCUCCCUGCCCUGAAGCUUCUCCGGUGCCCCGCUCUGCACGUAGCUCUACCCCUGCAGGGCUUCACCUUGCGGGCUCCCCAGCCCCCCGCCCUGUGGGACCCCCAGCAGCUCACUCGCUGUGCUCCCCAGCCCCCCGCCCCGUGGGACCCCCAGCAGCACACUCACUGUUCUCCCCUGCCUCCAUCUCGGUGGGAGCUGCAGGGGUCCGCUCUGCGCGCUCACCCACCCCUUGUCCCGAGGAUUCGUCAACCACCUGCUUUGCAUCUCCCCCAACUCCCCGGCCUCUGGCAGCUGCCACAGCCCGCUCCCUCUGCAACCCUUCCUCUCGCUCGGUCUCCCGGGCUGUCUGUACCCCAGGGUCUCGCUCCGUCUGUGGCCCUCAGUGGGGGCCAUCCUGCACUACCACCACCACCACGUCCCGCUCAGGCUCCCACUCCACGUGGACUCCAACCUCCCGCUCAGCAUGGAGCCUCACAGGGCGCUCGGGCUACAUCCCCUUCUCCCGCACCUCCUACAACACGCUCACAGGCCCUCCCUAUAGCUCCUUGUCCCGCUCCUACAACACUUUGUCCCGCUCAGCCUACACCACCCUGCCCCGCUCUACCUCUCCCUCUGCUUACGCUACCCUGCCUCGCUCUGGCUCGCGCCCCACCGGAAGCGCCCUGACCCGCUCUGGGGCCCGCACCCCCUGGAGUCCCAGCAGGGGUACUCUCUCCUACUUCAAACGCAAAUACCUGUAA
Molecule: long non-coding RNA, 1401 nt
Organism: Anser brachyrhynchus (Pink-footed goose)
Lineage: Eukaryota; Metazoa; Chordata; Aves; Anseriformes; Anatidae
Source: Ensembl